GCCCCGGCGUUGAACAGCUGCAGCUCGUAUCAAGUCCGUAUUUUAUAUUUUAAACUGCUAGCUACACACCUAUGCUUAAAUCCAAACGGACUAAACCAAGUGGAAACGCUUUGAUGCCACGUGCAAAGUCAUGCCACCAUCAAUGGGAAUGGCACAUUGGACACGUGGCUUUCAACUCCAGCGAGGUGGCGGCACGGAUCUCUGCAUGUCUGACUGACAUCUCCCAGUGGAUGUCCGCCCAUCACCUGAAGAUCAACCCCGACAAGACUGAACUACUUUUCUUCCCUGGAAAAAACUCGCCCACUCAGGACCUGACCGUUAACUUUGGCGAACACCGUUAACAUCAGGAGAAUACCACCCCUUCUCACUCAGAAGGCGGCGCAGGUACUGAUUCAGGCUCUUGUCAUCUCUCGCCUCGACUACUGUAACUCUCUGCUGGCAGGUCUCCCUGCUACCGCCAUUCGACCACUGCAGCUCAUCCAGAAUGCAGCAGCUCGACUGGUCUUCAACCUUCUGAAAUACUCCCACACCGCUUCUCCCUUCACUUCAUUGGUUACCAGUGGCUGCCCGCAUCCAGUUCAAAGCAUUGGUACUGACGGACCACGCUGUGAAUGGAUCGGGACCAGUCUACAUCCGGGACAUGGUGAAACCCUGCAUCCCAACCCACGCACUCCGAUCUGCAUCUGGCAAGCUGCUUGUUCCUCCCUCACUGAGAGAAAAGCACUCGACGAGAUGGCGACUCUUUGCUGUCCUGCUCCCAGAUGGUGGAAUGAGCUCUCUGAUGACAUCAGGACCGCAGAGAGCCUCUCCAUCUUCCGUCGAAAACUCAA
Molecule: long non-coding RNA, 830 nt
Organism: Pungitius pungitius (ninespine stickleback)
Lineage: Eukaryota; Metazoa; Chordata; Actinopteri; Perciformes; Gasterosteidae
Exons: 3
Source: RefSeq, a predicted model, not a curated record